Molecule: ribosomal RNA, 253 nt
Filed under: uncultured bacterium
Lineage: Bacteria
Description: partial 16S ribosomal RNA
Rfam family: Bacterial small subunit ribosomal RNA
Source: RNAcentral
UACGUAGGCAGCAAGCGUUGUUCGGAGUUACUGGGCGUAAAGAGUGCGUAGGCGGUGCUCUAAGUUUGGUGUGAAAUCUCCCGGCUCAACUGGGAGGGUGCGCCGAAAACUGGAGUGCUUGAGGGUGGGAGAGGCAAGCGGAAUUCCUGGUGUAGCGGUGAAAUGCGUAGAUAUCGGGAGGAACACCUGUGGCGAAAGCGGCUCACUGGACCACAACUGACGCUGAUGCGCGAAAGCUAGGGGAGCAAACAGG